GGAGUUUUUACGGUUUUAUUGUGCCGGGCAUGGGAGCCGGGGCCUUGCUAAACACGGGCUCCAUGUCCACCAAGAAGCUUCGUGUUCAGUGCUGCUAUAAGAAGGCAAGGGGAAAACCUUUUCUCCCAUUCAUCCACGCUGUGAAUGAGUGAAUAAGAGGGCAACUCCCACCGCAACUGAACAGGACUGCCCCUGGCUCCUUGGCAGACAGGUGCAGAUCUGGACCAACUCCCAAAGGACCCGUUUCCGGAACAGCAACACGUAUACUCUUAGCACAACUGUGUGGACAAAGUCCUAACGCUUGGGUGGAGGCAACAGUGUCUCCGAAGAAACAGCUCACCUGCAGGAAUACAGCCUGUAAACCGUGGGAAGAAAAGCCCUCGGACCUGAAGGCCAACUCAAAGAUGUGGGAUCAGCUGACGACAUUGCUCGCACUUACAGAAAAGAGCUUUCUAAAGCAACAAGCCUGGAGGUCCAAGAUUACAGACUCCCCAGGGAUGGGGUUAAAGUGAAAAGCUUUCAGGAAGUGGCAUAUACCUCCCCUGCACACGAGACGGAAUGGAUCCUGGAACUCUGUGGCAAUGCACAGCACUGGUACAUUUUUAAAUGAACAGCCGCCAUGAUGAACGAGUUAAAGGUACAAGGGAGCAUUAGGAACAGAGAGCCAAGCACUCCAAAGUGGGCGGGGUUCAUGUUGAGAGGGAGGGAGAAGCUGUCUGAGGGAGACAGGUCAGACUUGGGUGUUGGUGGGCCUCAGGGCUCUUAGGUGGGUUUCCCACAGAGCAAGCUGAAAUUCACACAUCACACAGUGCAGGGAAUGUGUCUGAACAUUGACUCUGCCUGUCUGGAAAACCUCAGAGAAGGACUGAAGAGCAAAGCGGUCAUGCCUGCUUCCACACCCUGCUCACAAACACCAACAUGGAUACCGAUUGACACCCGGUGUUGCUAAUAUGCCACAAGCUUUGCCCACACACAGAGAGCUUCCUUCUAGCUUCCUUUGCUGCAAGGAACCUCGAAUCUGCUGGGGUUUCUAGAAACUCUCUCCAAAC
RNAcentral lists this long non-coding RNA (1049 nucleotides) under Mus spicilegus (steppe mouse). RNAcentral's name for it is "lncRNA (ENSMSIG00000025094.1)". The record is from RNAcentral. Lineage: Eukaryota; Metazoa; Chordata; Mammalia; Rodentia; Muridae.